CAGUACUGAGUGGAUCAUGAUAUGAUGAUACUAUUUCCGGGUGUUGGUGAGGCUGCGGGUGUCUGUCUGGAAGUGGUGGUUGUCAUCGGGGUCAGAAUCAGAAUGAAUUGGAGACGGAGUUGUUGGUGUUGAAAAUAAUAGCUAUUUUUGGCCUUUUUCUUUCUCUGGAACUUCUUCUGUCUGGAUAUAAAGAGAAACGGGUUGGGGACUACAGAUGGAAUUUCCUAUGUUUCGAUUUGUACCCGUUUCUUCUCAUCCUGGAUACUUCACUGGAUACCCCUGAGAAAAGUCUAGCUCCAUCUUUACUCCCUCCCAUCAGGGUUUCCAGAAGGAGUAUAAUAUCGAUAUGGUAGUGGGAA
Molecule: long non-coding RNA, 359 nt
Organism: Cygnus olor (mute swan)
Lineage: Eukaryota; Metazoa; Chordata; Aves; Anseriformes; Anatidae
Exons: 3
Source: RefSeq, a predicted model, not a curated record